UGAAUACGAAAUGCUACGGCAUUGAAGUGAUCUAUGCCAGGCUUCCAAGAAAAUCUCGUCAUAUCUUAAGCAGUAGAUGCCUGUACCUUAAACCGACACAGGUAGGUAGGUAGAGUAUACCAAGGGGCGCGAGAUAACUCUCUCUAAGGAACUCGGCAAAAUAACCUCGUAACUUCGGAAGAAGAGGUACCCUUGAAAAAGGGUUGCAAUAACCAGACCCUGGCGACUGUUUACCAAAAACACAGGUCUCCGCUAAUUCGUAAGAUCAAGUAUGGAGGCUGACGCCUGCCCAGUGCCGGAAGGUUAAAGAAGUUGGUCAAUCUUUGGAUGAAGCUGGCGACUGAAGCCCCGGUGAACGGCGGCCGUAACUAUAACGGUCCUAAGGUAGCGAAGUUCCUUGUCGGAUAAGUUCCGACCCGCACGAAAGGCGUAACGAUCAGGGUGCUGUCUCGGAGAGAGACUCGGCGAAAUAGACAUGUCUGUGAAGAUGCGGACUACCUGCACCUGGACAGAAAGACCCUAUGAAGCUUUACUGUAUCUUGGAAUUGGGUUUGGGCCUUGCUUGCGCAGGAUAGGUGGGAGGCUGUGAAGAUAUUCUUGCGGGAAUGUUGGAGCCAACGGUGAGAUACCACUCUAGUAAGGCUAAAAUUCUAACUCUGAACCGUUAUCCGGUCAGAGAACAGUUUCAGGUGGGCAGUUUGACUGGGGCGGUCGCCUCCUAAAGGGUAACGGAGGCGCGCAAAGGUUCCCUCAGGCUGGUUGGACAUCAGUCGUAGAGUGUAAAGGCAUAAGGGAGCUUGACUGCGAGACCCACAAGUCGAGCAGAGACGAAAGUCGGCCUUAGUGAUCCGACGGUUCCACGUGGAAGGGCCGUCGCUCAACGGAUAAAAGUUACUCUAGGAUAACAGGCUGAUCUCCCCCAAGAGUUCACAUCGACGGGGAGGUUUGGCACCUCGAUGUCGGCUCAUCGCAUCCUGGGGCGGUAGUACGUCCCAAGGGUUGGGCUGUUCGCCCAUGAAAGCGGUACGCGAGCUGGGUUCAGAACGUCGUGAGACAGUUCGGUCCAUAUCCGGUGCAGGCGUUAGAGCAUUGAGAGGAGUCCCCCUUAGUACGAGAGGACCGGGGGGAAUACACCGCUGGUGUACCAGUUAUCGUGCCAACGGUAAACGCUGGGUAGCCAUGUGUAGCGCGGAUAACUGCUGAAAGCAUCUAAGUAGGAAGCCCACCUUAAGAUGAGUGCUCUCACCGCUAUAAGCGGGUAAGGUCACGGUAAGAACAACCGUUAUAUAGGCAUUAAGUAUACGUGCAGUAAUGCAUUUAGCUGAGAUGUACUAACAGACCGAGGGCUCU
This 1350-nucleotide ribosomal RNA is filed under the name metagenome. RNAcentral's name for it is "bacterial LSU rRNA". It matches the Rfam family "Bacterial large subunit ribosomal RNA", at positions 1564 to 2925 of the family's 2925-position model. The record is from RNAcentral.